Molecule: non-coding RNA, 1911 nt
Organism: Oryctolagus cuniculus (rabbit)
Lineage: Eukaryota; Metazoa; Chordata; Mammalia; Lagomorpha; Leporidae
Source: RefSeq, a predicted model, not a curated record
GUGGCCUCCACAUCAGGCACCUCGGAUUUCUAGCUGGUCAGGGAGAAGGAGCGGGAGGUGGCCUGGGACUUUAGUGAGGACGGCCUUGUGUGACCGAGCCCGGGCGAAAUCAGCGGCCGGUCGCACCGGUCUCCGGAGGGUAGUGAGAGGAAAAACCCAGCCGCCUGGGCAACGGAAGCGUUCUGAGGGCAGAGAGGGAGCCCUUGCGGGAGGGGCGGGGGGCGUGUCGGAGCCGCGGGCGCAGCGUGGACGGCGGCCGCGACGCAGCGAGGCCACGUGGGGCUUCCGCAGGGCGCGGAUCCCGUCGCGGAGAGGAAGCCCUCGCUGGGAAAGCCAAGGACUUUACAAAGCAGCGGCCGAAGACCACCCACUUUUGGGCAAGGACGCCCGGGAAGGAUUCCAGCAAGGCGGCCCCGGAAGCUGGCGUGGCAGCGCUUCUGUUGUCUGCGAGGUGGAGUUGUAAUAAUCCACGCGACCUUAUUUUUCACGAGGGUUUUGAAGAUGACAGGCAAAACGAUCUUCUGUGUCGUUAGGAGUGACAACGGAGCCCGAUUAUGCCGAGUGCCUUCCAUAAUGCAGCAGGAGAGGCAGGGCCGGCAACCACUGCCACCUUUUCCGUGUAACCAAAGUGAAGACCAGCUACUCUGCCAUCUGUCCACGCAGGCUUUCCGCACGCCCUGGCCUCCUUCCUGGCUGAUCCACUGUCCCUCUGACAGCAUCGCACCUGCGAAUGGAUGCCAUAAUGCUGGUCACAAACUCCUUGUGAGGUCGGUGGGGCAGUUCAUGAGGACUAUUCUGCAGCCUUGGAAAUGAAAACUCAAAGAGGAUUUGCAGGAAAAUGCAGAUGGGCCCAGAGCGGCCCAAGUGACAUCUGGAAGGAUGUGACAGAAUUUGCUACUGGAACCUCUGCUUUUCUUACCUGCGUCGAUCAUUCGUCAUCCUUUCCCCAGAAUGGCUCAAAUAGAAUAAAGACUUCUCUGGGUCUGUGACUGGCCUUGGCCUGGCUCUGUUUGCACUGGAGGAGUGGGCUGGGCAGAGGGUGGGGGUCAGGCUCACUCAUCAUUCCAGUGGAGGAAAAGCACAGUUCAGUGCCUUUUUGUUUGUUUUUACAAACUCGAUGGGACCACCUCCACCCCCAUCACCACCCAAUUUGCAAUCAGACCUUCCCCAGACUCUGGAACACAGCCUCACACAGCCACAAGCUCCAAACAGCAGUGGAUGAAUGGUAAAACCUGAAAUGAUGUCAACGGCUUGUGCCGAAGCCAAGGAAAAUAUGUGGGGGCCCUCGGUGGCUUCAUCCCUGUGCUUGCUGCAACGCAGCUGCGAGUCAUAAGUUUUCCUUGUGAACAGACCAAGCACAGUCCCUGUGAAUUAGAUUCUGAGCCCAGCAUACCCUUUGGACCUCUGGCAUCCUCCCUCUCCCGGCUGCCUGUCCUCCUUGAAGAACUGAGUUCUCUAAGAGGUCAGAAAGGGGACAUGAUGGGGUGGCCGCAUGGGUGGCCAGAACUGGUGGCAUUUUGGAAGCCUUUUGAGGAAGAGCUUCAAGUCCACAAGGCGUGGUGGUGGGGAGGGAGAGGGAGCACCUAGCAGGCAGGGCAAGAGACAGGACGUCAGAGAUGGAAUCCCACAGCCGAAGUGACUCCGAGACUGGGGACAGCUGUUUCGACAGUUCAAGUCCUUAUGCCUACUUUUUCUUGAUGUAUUGAGAUUUUUGCAUUUUGUUUCUUAUUUUGAAGGGUGAGGGGCUUGAGUUGCCUAGAAUGAGUGUUUCAAUGUUUCUCUUGAUUCUGUUCAUGAAAAAAAAUUAUUUCAAAGUUUGUGGAAAAAAAUGGAAUUCAAAGAGAAUUUUACUUUGGUGCAAAAAGUUUUUUGAAAUCCAUGCAUAGUUUUUUUUUUAUCAUACAUCUUUUU